AGUUUGGAAUAUUACUUUUCGAUGGAAUUACAAUGUGAUUGUGACUCAAUACUAUCUUCUUGAAAAACUGUUUAACCAAGAUGAAGCAGUGGGAGGAAAGUUAAGCUCUAAGAAAGUAUCUCUGAAGAGCAAGGAGCUUUAGGAUCUUAAGAACAUAUUAAUUAUGAGCCAGUCGACGUGUAUUCUUCCUCCACCUCGUACACAUAGUAGGAUCUCCAAUCCUCUCGAAAGGUACUUGAGUAUGCUUAACAGAAGAUGUAGAGAAAAUUAUUUCU
RNAcentral lists this long non-coding RNA (275 nucleotides) under Elaeis guineensis (African oil palm). RNAcentral's name for it is "long non-coding RNA (EGUI_LNC029785)". The record is from RNAcentral. Lineage: Eukaryota; Viridiplantae; Streptophyta; Magnoliopsida; Arecales; Arecaceae.